This is a small nucleolar RNA of Mesocricetus auratus (golden hamster), 124 nucleotides long. Lineage: Eukaryota; Metazoa; Chordata; Mammalia; Rodentia; Cricetidae. The record is from Ensembl.
AUUUCUGUUAAAUAGAUCUGCACUGUAGCAGUCUCCCUUCAUAGCCAUAGAAGAGUCUGUUCUUGUUGGCCAAGCUGUCACUCAUUUAAUUGGUAUCAGAUUCUAGCUUUCACAAGUAUCAUUC